RNAcentral lists this ribosomal RNA (253 nucleotides) under uncultured bacterium. RNAcentral's name for it is "partial 16S ribosomal RNA". It matches the Rfam family "Bacterial small subunit ribosomal RNA", at positions 524 to 776 of the family's 1533-position model. The record is from RNAcentral.
UACGGAGGGUGCGAGCGUUAUCCGGAUUCACUGGGUUUAAAGGGUGCGUAGGUGGGAAUGUAAGUCAGUGGUGAAAUCUCCGAGCUUAACUCAGAAACUGCCAUUGAUACUAUGUUUCUUGAAUUUUCUGGAGGUCAGCGGAAUAUGUCAUGUAGCGGUGAAAUGCUUAGAUAUGACAUAGAACACCAAUUGCGAAGGCAGCUGGCUACAGGGAUAUUGACACUGAGGCACGAAAGCGUGGGGAUCAAACAGG